UACGUAGGGCGCAAGCGUUGUCCGGAAUUAUUGGGCGUAAAGAGCUCGUAGGCGGCUUGUCACGUCGGGUGUGAAAGCCCGGGGCUUAACCCCGGGUCUGCAUUCGAUACGGGCUAGCUAGAGUGUGGUAGGGGAGAUCGGAAUUCCUGGUGUAGCGGUGAAAUGCGCAGAUAUCAGGAGGAACACCGGUGGCGAAGGCGGAUCUCUGGGCCAUUACUGACGCUGAGGCGCGAAGGCCAGGGGAGCAAACGGG
Molecule: ribosomal RNA, 253 nt
Filed under: uncultured bacterium
Lineage: Bacteria
Description: partial 16S ribosomal RNA
Rfam family: Bacterial small subunit ribosomal RNA
Source: RNAcentral